Molecule: ribosomal RNA, 314 nt
Filed under: uncultured bacterium
Lineage: Bacteria
Description: bacterial SSU rRNA
Rfam family: Bacterial small subunit ribosomal RNA
Source: RNAcentral
GAUGAACGCUGGCGGCGUGCCUAACACAUGCAAGUCGAACGGGCCAAGUUUACUUGGUCAGUGGCGGACGGGUGCGUAACACGUAGGUGACCUGCCCUCGAGUGGGGAAUAAUUCCGCGAAAGCGGGACUAAUACCGCAUGAGGUCGCUCCUUCGCUGGGGUGACGAAAGCAGCAAUGUGCUUGAGGAUGGGCCUGCGGCGGAUUAGCUAGUUGGUGGGGUAACGGCCUACCAAGGCGAUGAUCCGUAGGGGGCGUGAGAGCGUGACCCCCCACAUUGGCACUGAGAUACGGGCCAAACUCCUACGGGUGGCAG